Molecule: non-coding RNA, 31 nt
Filed under: Rattus norvegicus (Norway rat)
Lineage: Eukaryota; Metazoa; Chordata; Mammalia; Rodentia; Muridae
Source: RNAcentral
UGCCACGGGGACUCAAGAUGCCUCUCGCCAG